AUUGAACGCUGGCGGCAUGCCUUACACAUGCAAGUCGAACGGCAGCGGGGACUUCGGUCCGCCGGCGAGUGGCGAACGGGUGAGUAAUGUAUCGGAACGUACCAUUGAGUGGGGGAUAACGUAGCGACAGUUACGCUAAUACAGCAUAGUCUCUCCGUAGGAAAGCGGGGGUACGCAAGGCCUUGCGCCUUUUGAGCGGCCGAUAUCAGAGUAGCUAGAUGGUGAGGUAAAAGCUCACCAAGGCGACGAUCUGUAGCGGGUCUGAGGGGAUGGUCCGCCACACUGGAACUGAGACACGGGCCAGACUCCUACGGGAGGCAGCAGUGGGGAAUUUUGGACAAUGGGGGCAACCCUGAUCCAGCCAUGCCGCGUGAGUGAAGAAGGCCUUCGGGUUGUAAAGCUCUUUCGGCCGGGAAAAAAUCGCAUGGGUUCAUACCCUGUGUGGAUGAUGGUACCGGAAUAAGAAGCACCGGCUAACUACGUGCCAGCAGCCGCGGUAA
RNAcentral lists this ribosomal RNA (500 nucleotides) under uncultured bacterium. Its description in RNAcentral is "partial 16S ribosomal RNA". It matches the Rfam family "Bacterial small subunit ribosomal RNA", at positions 30 to 523 of the family's 1533-position model. The record is from RNAcentral.